CAGUCGACGAACUUCCGUUAUUGAUUAUGACGUACUUGUACUGAUUGAGAUUUUAACACGAAGUGAGUGGCGAACGGGUGAGUAACACGUGGGUAACCUGCCCAGAAGUAGGGGAUAACACCUGGAAACAGAUGCUAAUACCGUAUAACAGAGAAAACCGCAUGGUUUUCUUUUAAAAGAUGGCUCUGCUAUCACUUCUGGAUGGACCCGCGGCGUAUUAGCUAGUUGGUGAGGUAAAGGCUUACCAAGGCAGUGAUACGUAGCCGACCUGAGAGGGUAAUCGGCCACAUUGGGACUGAGACACGGCCCAGACUCCUACGGGAGGCAGCAGUAGGGAAUCUUCCACAAUGGACGCAAGUCUGAUGGAGCAACGCCGCGUGAGUGAAGAAGGGUUUCGGCUCGUAAAGCUCUGUUGUUAAAGAAGAACGUGGGUAAGAGUAACUGUUUACCCAGUGACGGUAUUUAACCAGAAAGCCACGGCUAACUACGUGCCAGCAGCCGCGGUAAUACGUAGGUGGCAAGCGUUAUCCGGAUUUAUUGGGCGUAAAGCGAGCGCAGGCGGUCUUUUAAGUCUAAUGUGAAAGCCUUCGGCUCAACCGAAGAAGUGCAUUGGAAACUGGGAGACUUGAGUGCAGAAGAGGACAGUGGAACUCCAUGUGUAGCGGUGAAAUGCGUAGAUAUAUGGAAGAACACCAGUGGCGAAGGCGGCUGUCUGGUCUGCAACUGACGCUGAGGCUCGAAAGCAUGGGUAGCGAACAGGAUUAGAUACCCUGGUAGUCCAUGCCGUAAACGAUGAUUACUAAGUGUUGGAGGGUUUCCGCCCUUCAGUGCUGCAGCUAACGCAUUAAGUAAUCCGCCUGGGGAGUACGACCGCAAGGUUGAAACUCAAAAGAAUUGACGGGGGCCCGCACAAGCGGUGGAGCAUGUGGUUUAAUUCGAAGCUACGCGAAGAACCUUACCAGGUCUUGACAUCUUCUGACAGUCUAAGAGAUUAGAGGUUCCCUUCGGGGACAGAAUGACAGGUGGUGCAUGGUUGUCGUCAGCUCGUGUCGUGAGAUGUUGGGUUAAGUCCCGCAACGAGCGCAACCCUUAUUACUAGUUGCCAGCAUUAAGUUGGGCACUCUAGUGAGACUGCCGGUGACAAACCGGAGGAAGGUGGGGACGACGUCAAAUCAUCAUGCCCCUUAUGACCUGGGCUACACACGUGCUACAAUGGAUGGUACAACGAGUCGCGAGACCGCGAGGUUAAGCUAAUCUCUUAAAACCAUUCUCAGUUCGGACUGUAGGCUGCAACUCGCCUACACGAAGUCGGAAUCGCUAGUAAUCGCGGAUCAGCAUGCCGCGGUGAAUACGUUCCCGGGCCUUGUACACACCGCCCGUCACACCAUGAGAGUUUGUAACACCCAAAGCCGGUGG
This 1416-nucleotide ribosomal RNA is filed under the name Pediococcus pentosaceus. Its description in RNAcentral is "bacterial SSU rRNA". It matches the Rfam family "Bacterial small subunit ribosomal RNA", at positions 59 to 1433 of the family's 1533-position model. The record is from RNAcentral. Lineage: Bacteria; Bacillati; Bacillota; Bacilli; Lactobacillales; Lactobacillaceae.